GGCUCUGUGGCUCAGUUGGUAGAGCAUGGUGUUUGCAAUGCCAGCAUGGUGUGUGCAACGCCAGGGUUGUGGGUUCGAUUCCCACUGGGGUCC
This is a non-coding RNA of Salmo salar (Atlantic salmon), 93 nucleotides long. NCBI's taxonomy places the organism in Eukaryota, Metazoa, Chordata, Actinopteri, Salmoniformes, Salmonidae. The record is from Rfam.